RNAcentral lists this ribosomal RNA (498 nucleotides) under uncultured bacterium. RNAcentral's name for it is "partial 16S ribosomal RNA". It matches the Rfam family "Bacterial small subunit ribosomal RNA", at positions 28 to 523 of the family's 1533-position model. The record is from RNAcentral.
GAUGAACGCUAGCGGCAGGCUUAACACAUGCAAGUCGAGGGGCAGCACGGACUUCGGUCUGGUGGCGACCGGCUAACGGGUGCGGAACACGUACACAAUCUACCUUUAUCUGGGGUAUAGCCCGAAGAAAUUCGGAUUAAUCCCCCAUAAUAUAUUAAAGUGGCAUCACUUCGAUAUUAAAACUCCGGUGGAUAAAGAUGAGUGUGCGUCCCAUUAGCUAGUUGGUAGGGUAACGGCCUACCAAGGCAACGAUGGGUAGCUGGUGUGAGAGCACGACCAGCCACACGGGCACUGAGACACGGGCCCGACUCCUACGGGAGGCAGCAGUGAGGAAUAUCGGUCAAUGGACGCAAGUCUGAACCAGCCAUGCCGCGUGAAGGAUGAAGGCCUUCUGGGUUGUAAACUUCUUUUAUUGGGGAAGAAAAUUACGGUUUCUACUGUAACCGACGGUACCCAAGGAAUAAGCACCGGCUAACUCCGUGCCAGCCGCCGCAGUAA